UUUCCGUAGGUGAACCUGCGGAAGGAUCAUUCAUAAUAAAGUGUUUUAUGGCACUUUUAAAAAUCCAUAUCCACCUUGUGUGCAAUGUUAGAUCUCGUCAAUCUUGGCGAGAUUUUUAUACAUCAACUCAUUCUUUAACUAGUUUGUCUGAAAAAUAUUAUGAAUACUUAAUUCAAAAUACAACUUUCAACAACGGAUCUCUUGGCUCUC
This 210-nucleotide unclassified non-coding RNA is filed under the name plant metagenome. Its description in RNAcentral is "partial contains small subunit ribosomal RNA, internal transcribed spacer 1, and 5.8S ribosomal RNA". The record is from RNAcentral.